RNAcentral lists this long non-coding RNA (235 nucleotides) under Lathyrus oleraceus (garden pea). RNAcentral's name for it is "Pisum sativum (pea) long non-coding RNA (PSAT_LNC032637)". Lineage: Eukaryota; Viridiplantae; Streptophyta; Magnoliopsida; Fabales; Fabaceae. The record is from RNAcentral.
AUAAGUCCAUGAGAAAUGGGGAACAUUUUAUGGAUGAAUGCAUUGAAAUUUUUAUUUCUUUGUGUUGAUUUUUGUUUCUUUAGACGGUGGAAAUCAUUAUUAGUCUUUUUUUUUAACUUGAACAUGAUAUCAUGGAUGUUUUCUCGGUAAAUCUUAUAUGCAUGUAGUUCAAAUUUUUUUCCUCCAUAUUAUAUGCUUAUGUUAACAUUUGUAUGUAUCGACUCGUGAGGGAAUU